GAUGAACGCUGGCGGCGUGCCUAAUACAUGCAAGUCGAGCGAACAGACGAGGAGCUUGCUCCUCUGACGUUAGCGGCGGACGGGUGAGUAACACGUGGAUAACCUACCUAUAAGACUGGGAUAACUUCGGGAAACCGGAGCUAAUACCGGAUAAUAUAUUGAACCGCAUGGUUCAAUAGUGAAAGACGGUUUUGCUGUCACUUAUAGCUGGAUCCGCGCCGCAUUAGCUAGUUGGUAAGGUAACGGCUUACCAAGGCAACGAUGCGUAGCCGACCGGAGAGGGGGAUCGGCCACACGGGAACUGAGACACGGUCCAGACUCCUACGAGAGGCAGCAGUAGGGAAUCUUCCGCAAUGGGCGAAAGCCUGACGGAGCAACGCCGCGUGAGUGAUGAAGGUCUUCGGAUCGUAAAACUCUGUUAUGAGGGAAGAACAAAUGUGUAAGUAACUAUGCACGUCUUGACGGUACCUAAUCAGAAAGCCACGGCUAACUACGUG
RNAcentral lists this ribosomal RNA (497 nucleotides) under uncultured bacterium. RNAcentral describes it as "partial 16S ribosomal RNA". It matches the Rfam family "Bacterial small subunit ribosomal RNA", at positions 28 to 507 of the family's 1533-position model. The record is from RNAcentral.